AUGAAAAUUUUCCUAUGGUUUCUCAACAAAGGAGUUAUCUUAACUAGGGACAAUCUAGCUCGACGAAACUGGCAAUGCUGCAAAAAAUGUGUUUUCUACAAUCAUAAUGAAUCCAUUAAACACCUAUUUUUUGAUUGCAAGUUUGCUAGAUCGGUAUGGGCAAUAGUCCAAAUUGCUUCGAAUCUAUAUCCUCCAUGCAGCGUACGAAAUAUGUUCGACAAUUGGUUGAGGGGAAUAGAUAAACAAUUGUCUAAGCACAUUCUUGCGGGGGCAGCUGCCUUAUGUUGGGCAUUGUGGCUCACCAGGAAUGAUAUUGUUUUUUAUCAUAAAAGUGUUUCAUCUCCUAUGCAGGUAAUUCAUAUAUGCUCGCGAUGGCUCCGUAUGUGGUCUAUCCUGCAGAGGCCGGAGGACAGAGACCUUUUUAUGAUGGCUUCUACCCGGUUGAAGUGCUCGGCCAGGGACAUUUUUUACCCCCAUGGAUGGCAGUGUGACCUUCGGAUUGGACCAGCAUCACCUUAG
RNAcentral lists this ribosomal RNA (519 nucleotides) under Triticum aestivum (bread wheat). RNAcentral describes it as "partial small subunit ribosomal RNA". Lineage: Eukaryota; Viridiplantae; Streptophyta; Magnoliopsida; Poales; Poaceae. The record is from RNAcentral.